UUUCUCGGUGUUGUUGUUUGUGUGUUUCCAUGGUAACGGCAGCAGCAGUGAAGGACGUGAAUCCUCGGUGUCUCUCAUCAUCUCGAGUUCGCUCUCUGAUUCUGUUCCCGUGUCGUUCCUGCAGCUGAACUGGGACUGCAGGACGGUUCAUGUUCCUGGUUCUGUAAAUCUGGACGGUUGAGGCGGGUCGGCGCCGUGGUCACUGACUGACCUUUCCCUGCAGUGACUGUCUCCAUCUUCACCUCCUGGUCUGUUGUUGGUCUCCUGGUUUGAUGAAUGUCUCUCAGUCCUCACGUCUUCGUCCCUCACAGACGCUCCUGUCACACCUUCUCUGAAACUCUUCCUCUCCAUCUUUAGACCCUCGGGGAUCAGCGCCGCAGCAACACGCCGCCUGUUUCCUGGUUCAGAACGAUCCUGUGGUGAUUCACUUCCUGUUCCCCUCCCAUCCUGCAGCUCUGGCUCCAGGAAGACCAACAAUUCAUCCAGGACCUCAAAGGUUUCCUAUCACACACACACACACACACACACACACAUGCACACACACACACACAUACACAUAUUGUCUUUGUUGUCUAUCACUGAUGUCUAAAAAGUAGAGACAUGGGGGGGGGACAGGGACACAAACAGACAAACUGUUGAUUUAUAUGAAGUGCUCUGUUAUUUAUACAGUAUAUAUAAAUAUAUAUAAUAUUACACUUAUAUUUUGACCCUCUUAGACCUACUUCCUGGUGUUAAACGUGUUAAUUUCCUUUUUUCUUUUUAGACUUUCAAACAUUUCAACCUUCUUUAAAUGAUAAUAAAAAACUUUAAUGAUUCAGACGUAACGAUCAAAAUUAAUCAGGAAAUGAUUGAAACUGUUGGUGUCUCUCCUGAAGGUUUUUCCUUCAUUUUAUUCCAGUUCUUCUUUAAAACGCUGAGAUUAGAUCUGAGAUUCUGGGUCCUGAAGGAGACCUGACCCUGUCUCGGUCUGCUGUGGUCUGAGUCCUGAUAACAGGGUCUGAGGGUCUCUCAGGUGUUUGGGAGUCCCUGUUCUGGUCCUGGUGUUCCUUCCCCGUAUCUCUGCUCACUAAUCUGCUUAGUUCCUCGCUGUGGUGAAUGUAAAUAUAGAAGUUCUGAUCCUCUUACAGGAGGACUUGGACCAGGAUUUGGAGACUCACAGCCUGUCAGCUGCAGUUCUGUUUCUGUGGUUUAGGGGGCGCUGUGUGUGCUGACUCCGCCUCUGUUGGCCUCUCUGUGUCCUGGAGACUGAAGCUUCACAAACUCAGAAACACUGAGAAAGAAAAUAAAGAAAAUAAGAAAAUUAAGAAAAUAAAGAAACAAAGAAAAUAAAGAAAAAAAGAAAACAAAGGAAACAAAGAAAAUUAAAACUUAAAGAAAAUUCAAAAAUAAAGAAAAAAAAAAUAAAGAAAAAAAAAAAAUAAAGAAAAUAAAAAAUAAAGAAAAUAAAAAAAUAAAGAAAAUAAAGGAAAUAAAGAAAAUAAAGGAAAUAAAGAAAAUAAAGAAAAUAAAAAAAUUAAGAAAAUAAAGAAAAUUAAAACUUGAAGAAAAUUCAAAAAUAAAGAAAAAAUAAAUAAAGAAAAUAAAAAAUAAAAAAAUAAAGAUAAAGAAAAUAAAAAGAAAAUUCAAAAAUAAAGAAAAAAUUAAAUAAAGAAAAUAAAGAAAAAAGAGAAAAUAAACAAAGAAAAUAAAAAAAAUAAAGAAAAUUAAAAAAUAAAAAAAUUAAGAAAAUAAAGAAAAUUAAAAAAUAAAAAACAAAGAAAAUUCAAAAAUAAAGAAAAAUUAAAUAAAGAAAAUAAAAAAAAUAAAGAAAAUAAAGAAAAUUAAAAAAUAAAGAAACAAACAAAACAAAGAGCUCUUUUACCCGACAACGAUCAGCUCGGCGUUUGUCUUCUUCAGUGUCAAACAGGAAACUCAAACAUCCAUCAGACGUUUUUUUCUGUUUGUCUCAGAUUCAGAUGUGAUGAGACCGUCUUUGAGACUCUGAUGUCCUCGUUGUCUUAUCGUGUUGGAGACAUGAACACAGUGAAGCUCAAAAACACACCAUCACUUAUCUGCGGUCCGUGUUUGACCUUCUUCUUCUUCAUCUUCAUCAGUCAGGACUGUGAGUGCUGCAGCUGAUACCAACGCCGCCGUCACUGUUAUGACCUCAUCUGUUAACUGAGGAUGACCUCACGUAUCAGCUGAUGGGUCAUGACCAUGAAGACUCAAAUACCUGCAGUUACAAACACACCUGUGCAUACGUUCACCUGUGCAGACGUUCACCUCAGAGUGAUUCAACACGUUCAUUUACAGCUGAACUUUGACCUCCUGUUUGUUUGUUUUCCUCAUAAUCUAAUCCGAGCGAGCUCACUGUCCCGUAAACAUCAGUUUGUUAGGAGACCUUCAGUCUGAGAGAUAGAAACCUCGGGACAGUCAGUCUGUGAAAACAUCUCAAAGUCUUCAGAAGGACGUUUGAGCGUGGAGACGCUGACGAACAUGAGCGCGGUUUACAGCAGAGCGUCAGUAUACACUCGAUAAAGACUGAGUUUGAAGAAUUAAAGUAUAAAAUAAAACACAGAAGUUCAACUCUGAGGAGAAAGUCAAAGCUGUGUAAAGACGAAGAACCGAACACUGAGACGGUUUUAGAGGAGAUGGUGUCAGGAGGUCACCACAGAGAAGGUCAUCAGAAGUUUGGGCUCCACAAAUCUAUUACUAAAUAAUCAUUGAUUAUCUGUUGACACUCCUGAUCACUGAAGCCGGUGAUGAGGACGAAUCAUUGACUAAUAUGAGGAAAUACUUUCUCAUGGUCGAACCUCGAAGAUCAGACCACAACAGUGUCUACAGAGACUCUGAGAACAAACGAGGAGUGUCCUUCAGCUGAGGGAGAACAAACUGACAUCAGGGCGGUGGUAUGUAGGUCCACAUGAGAGAGAGGGAGAGAGGGGGGGAGAGAAAGAGAGCGAGAGACAGAGAGAGAGAGAGAGAGGGAGAGAGAGAGAGAGAGAGAGAGAGGGGCCUUUGUGAGAGUGAGAGUGAGGGGACGAGAGCGUCAGUGUACCACCACACAAUCCACAGUGUGUGUGUGUGUGUGUGUGUGUGUGUGUGUGUGUGUGUGUGUGUGUGUGUGUGUGUGUGUGUGUGUGUGUGUGUGGGCUGGACUCCUCAUUUCAAUCAUUCGACUGUUGAACCACAGACCAGUAUCCGUGUGUUCCCACUACAGAUCCAUCUGGUGUCUGUUUGUCUCUUCAUGUGUGUGCAGCAUCUACACAGUCAGGUCUGAAGAUCUAGGUCCAGGUAGGAAGACUCACCUGUCCUGUUAAAACCGUCUCAGACUGUGUGAGCGAGAGAUCUCAGUGGAAGGACCACAAAACCUCAGAGCUCUAAAACAGAUCAGAAGAUUUCUGAAAGAGUUCCCCAAACCCAUGUAGACCACACCUCCCAAGGUCUCCAAGUGUUCCAGCAGACUUCUGAUGAGGUUCUCAGAGUUCAACAGUUAUCACUAAACCCUCAGACACAGACCUAACCGAGCUUUAAAACAGAGCUCAGACAGACUUUUAUAAUAGUUCUAACAACUGGACUCACUUGGGGUUCUUGAAGAGUUCU
Molecule: long non-coding RNA, 3582 nt
Filed under: Xyrichtys novacula (pearly razorfish)
Lineage: Eukaryota; Metazoa; Chordata; Actinopteri; Labriformes; Labridae
Source: RNAcentral